UUGCUCCAGUGUGCGGUGCUCGCAAGCGAGCAUGGCUCGGCGACUCACAACGGCGAGGGCGAUCAACGACGAGCCAACGUGGUGGUGGGGCUGCACACACUGGGAGACCCGACGGCAGCGGCGCGAGAUUGUUGCUGCACACCCGGCUGGGCGAGCGAGAUGGCUCCGAGCGCGACAUCGAGGGCGGGCGAGAUCAGAGAUGAAGGCGCGGCGUUUGACGGCCUGUACGACGAGGUAGAGAUCGAUGGAGGAGCUCGACAACCGAACAAGCAGGAGGGGACGCUGGCGCGGGGACAGCAAGGACGUGCCAACGCGAUGAGCUUGGAUGACGGCGCUCGCUGCAGUCUAGCGAAGAGGACUCCGGCACCAGGAAACCAACAAUUUGGGCGUCCACGAGGUGAGCGCGCUGGGGAGGUUGAGCAAGAAGAGAGCACGGCUGUUGCUGGUCUCCUUCCUAUGCCCGAACGCAGCUCAGACUCGCGGCGACGAGUAGAGAUCGUGUCGAGGCGGACGACUGCGAGCGCGCAAGCACGCGGCGCGGCGGCAGUUGCGUGGCUGUGGCCUGAGCGGACACGAGCGUAGCAAGAGGGAAAGGGUGGGGGCUAUUUGGGCGCAUGAGAGAGAGGAGUUGGGCAAGUGAU
RNAcentral lists this unclassified non-coding RNA (641 nucleotides) under Zea mays. RNAcentral describes it as "misc RNA Zm00001eb411980". The record is from RNAcentral. Lineage: Eukaryota; Viridiplantae; Streptophyta; Magnoliopsida; Poales; Poaceae.